AUGUUGUCAAGAUGGCAUCAGGAUUCCUGAACACACCAUCAUCAGGGAACUUCACAAGUUCCCAUUGAUGAAACAUCAGGUACGUCUCACCUAGGGGCAGACGACAGACAGAGUAACAGAACAUUGGAGGAACAGCAAUGGAGACCAGUGCAGAUGACAUAGCCCAGGGCCUCUCCCGUUCUGACAGGUGAAUACCUCUUGGUGUGAGUUACAGGCAUCACGGGCAUGGGCCUCAAAGAGAAGGAAGUCGUGCUCGGAAAUCUGAGUAAAAACUAUCUCCAAUUUUUACAG
Long non-coding RNA from Mastomys coucha (southern multimammate mouse), 291 nucleotides. RefSeq lists it as uncharacterized. NCBI's taxonomy places the organism in Eukaryota, Metazoa, Chordata, Mammalia, Rodentia, Muridae. The record is from RefSeq and is a predicted model, not a curated record. The transcript is spliced from 2 exons.